RNAcentral lists this long non-coding RNA (233 nucleotides) under Lathyrus oleraceus (garden pea). Its description in RNAcentral is "Pisum sativum (pea) long non-coding RNA (PSAT_LNC006406)". Lineage: Eukaryota; Viridiplantae; Streptophyta; Magnoliopsida; Fabales; Fabaceae. The record is from RNAcentral.
UUUAAUCCAUUUGUUUUAUUUAAUUCAUACAAAUUUCAUUUUUUAUCCAAAAAAUAUGGGACUUUCACCAAAAUCUUGUAAUAUUUUCCUCUUUCAUAUUUUGAAUUAAAAUCUUUUUUUGGAUUGAUUUUUAUAUUUUUCAUGAAUUAAAUGAAUUUUGACUUGUUUUUAAAUAUUUUAAAAAACUUCUGACUUUCCGAAAAUUAUGAAUUUUUUGUCUAAGGUCCUUUGAC